Chiroxiphia lanceolata (lance-tailed manakin) is the source of this 653-nucleotide long non-coding RNA. RefSeq lists it as uncharacterized. The transcript has 3 exons. The record is from RefSeq and is a predicted model, not a curated record. NCBI's taxonomy places the organism in Eukaryota, Metazoa, Chordata, Aves, Passeriformes, Pipridae.
CCAACUGCCCACUGGCCCUGGCACUGCAUCUCCACCCUGUCCCACAGCCCUGGGGCUCGUCACAGCCUGACCACCCCACCCAAACAUUAGUGGUGCACACUGGGCGCUGUUCAUGCUCCAGAACUGCUGUUCAGGAACAUUACAGUGGCUCCAGGCCCAGUUCCACUGAAGUCAAUUAGAAGCUUCCAAAUCAAUCCUUCCUUCCCCUCCUGGUGUUUGUGUGGGAAAUGGAAUUGGUGGGUGGAACUGAAAGGGAUGUGACCCUGGUCUAAAAUCGUCUCUAUCAUUUCGGGCCCAAUUUUCAGAGGUCCUGAACACAAGUCUGCUGAAAGUAAACGAAGGCUUUGGUGGUCAAUCGCUCUGAAACCAACUCCAGAACUGGCAACAGCUCUCGUUUUGUCUCACCCUGGUGUUGUCCAAAAUUAGGUUUCAAGCAGUGUGGAAAGGCAUUUCAAUAUGUUCUUUCUGCAAAUAUUGCAGCAAAGUGAACUGGUGUUUCAGCUGUGUGGUGCCAGCUGGCAGGGCAGAGCCCCUGCAGUGACUGGAGUGCCUGGUGUCAGAGUACUGGUCUCAUGUCAGCUCUGGGGUUUGUGUGACACAGAUCUCUGCCUUCUCUUUCAUGUUGGAAUUGGUUAGGAACCUCUAAAGAUUGC